CCUACGGGAGGCAGCAGUAAGGAAUAUUGGUCAAUGGAGGCAACUCUGAACCAGCCAUGCCGCGUGCAGGAAGACUGCCCUAUGGGUUGUAAACUGCUUUUAUCCGGGAAUAAACCUACUUACGUGUAAGUAGCUGAAUGUACCGGAAGAAUAAGGAUCGGCUAACUCCGUGCCAGCAGCCGCGGUAAUACGGAGGAUCCAAGCGUUAUCCGGAUUUAUUGGGUUUAAAGGGUGCGUAGGCGGCCUGUUAAGUCAGGGGUGAAAGACGGUAGCUCAACUAUCGCAGUGCCCUUGAUACUGAUGGGCUUGAAUGGACUAGAGGUAGGCGGAAUGAGACAAGUAGCGGUGAAAUGCAUAGAUAUGUCUCAGAACACCGAUUGCGAAGGCAGCUUACUAUGGUCUUAUUGACGCUGAGGCACGAAAGCGUGGGGAUCAAACAGGAUUAGAUACCCUGGUAGUCCACGCCCUAAACGAUGAACACUCGCUGUUGGCGAUACACAGUCAGCGGCUAAGCGAAAGCGUUAAGUGUUCCGCCGUGGGUAGUACCGCCGCGAAGGGUUAGUUAAACGUUAAAGUUAGUUAGUUGGCGNGAGAGNGCGACGGACGACGACGACGGAGGAGGAGG
Molecule: ribosomal RNA, 625 nt
Filed under: uncultured bacterium
Lineage: Bacteria
Description: bacterial SSU rRNA
Rfam family: Bacterial small subunit ribosomal RNA (bases 1-535)
Source: RNAcentral